This 567-nucleotide unclassified non-coding RNA is filed under the name Hevea brasiliensis (rubber tree). The record is from RNAcentral. Lineage: Eukaryota; Viridiplantae; Streptophyta; Magnoliopsida; Malpighiales; Euphorbiaceae.
GUCGAGAUACAUCCUAAACUACCCCUUGAAAUUCCUGUUACAACCCCUCUCACCUUGCGAUUUCCAUUUCCCCCAACUUCCCCCUUCUAUUCUUCAUGUUUCGGCUAGCACCUGACCCAACGCUAGCGCGCCUUCGUUCCCUCGCUCCAGAGCGCUAGAGGAGGAAAGAAUGGAUGAAAUCCAAUGAGAAAGGGAGGAAAGUGAACCACAAUGACCCAUUUCCUUCUCCCAUUCAUUGAAGUCGCCGACGUUCCAGGUCGAGUUAGUGGCUCCCAUCGGCACUAGCCGUUCUCCUAGACCGUCGGCGCUAUCCUUAGUGGCCAAAAUCUCGCAAAUAGAGAGAGAGAGAGUUUUUGGCCACCGGAGCUUCUAAGGCUGAUUCUAGCCAUCUCGACCACCACUCGAAUGAUCCAACACUCUCAAUGGACUCCCGUGACAUAUGCUUUGAUUUAACACCAUCCAUGCCUCAAGCCAACAAUGGACGGUGAAGGCACCCAAUGGACGGUGAGAUAUAUGGAUAAAAUAUAAAUGGAUAACUAGAGUAAAAAAAUUAAUGAAUUAAUUGCU